Molecule: long non-coding RNA, 966 nt
Organism: Taeniopygia guttata (zebra finch)
Lineage: Eukaryota; Metazoa; Chordata; Aves; Passeriformes; Estrildidae
Source: RefSeq, a predicted model, not a curated record
CUUGUGUACAGCAUUUUGAUUCCUGCAGGAUUGAGACUGCAGCCAAAUAUUUUGUCAUUACUGAGUCAGGGCUAGGUUCAUUGCUUUGGCUGAAAUCUAAAUGGAGUAAACAGAAGAUGGAUGUAAAUGGGCUACUUGGAGCUCUGGUGGAGAGAACAGCCCCUUUCUUUUGGUGCAAGAACAGAGGCAAUGGGCAUUAAGAUGAUCAGCUUGGUGUGAAUGGAAGCUCUCCAUCCACAGUGUAAAGGUGAUGGCACAAGUGCAUGUGAAGUUUAAGUUGUACGUGGGAUCCCAAGCAUCAGCUCUCACCAGAUUGAAGAGUGAUAGAGAAUCAUAUACACAAUUGUUUCCUACAUUUUUGCUGAAAGAAAAAAAUAAAGGAUUUUGAUUUAAUGUCUUUAACUCGCCCUUGCUCAGACACUCCAAUAGAGUGAUAUGAAGCACCUCUCUUGGGAGAGGCAUUGUUCAAACCCAGUUGCAGCUGAGAAUGCUUAAAAACUGGAGUAUCAGCUGUGUUCUGUGUGGACAACUGCAGUUUAAUGGCUCUGCAAGCAAAUCAGAGAUCAGCUAAAGAGAGAUGAUUGAAAUUAUUACUUUAUGCUGCUUCUCUAACACUUCGUGUUGCUUUGUGGGCAUCAGACUGAAAGAACAGCACUGUGGUGAAAUAUGCUUCUAGAAAUGUUAUUUUCUUAAACAAUUCACUGUAUGGUUGAUAGUAACACUGCAUGAAAGCUUUUAAUUCUUCUUUUGCAAUCAGUAAAAUAUGCUACAGUAAAUUUUCUCAAGGAAGGAGAAGAUUUGUAUUUGCAUGCAGUGUCCUGGUAGCUCUGAGGCCUGUGCUGCUUCAUAGGACAGAAAAACAAAUGUAAACUCAGCUGAGUGUGUCAGGGGCAUAUUUUUAUUGAAAUUUAAUGUUCUAAUGGUCUGAAAUUGGAAACUAAGAAAAUAAAUUUCAGCCUUUGGUUA